GACCUGAGGCCCAAAGGAGGGCCGGCCACCCAGGUGGGCCGGGCUGCCACUUCCCGGUCAGGUGGAGCCGAAAUGAUGUCAUUUCCACCAGUCUCUACUUUGCAGUUUAAGAUCGUGCUUUGAUUAUUAACCAAAGCUGAGGAAACUGAGACCGAGGCAGGGGCGCAGCUUACCCGGUGAAGCUUUUCCUGGGAAAAGGCUCCCGGUGGAGCCGGAAGAGCUGCCUGGAAAAGAGCCAGGCUGCCUCUUCCUGGUAUUCCUUGAACACUCUCGCCUUGGAGCCUUUGCACUGUAUUUCCUCUGCCUGGAAUGCUUUCCCUCAGCUGUCCCCAUGGCUCAUCCUUCACUCCCUUCAGGCUGUUCUCUUAAGCAGAGGAAGCCGAAUGAGGUUUAUGCAUGUCUUCCCAGCAUCCAGAGCGGGUUCCAGGAAGGUUGUG
This is a long non-coding RNA of Leptonychotes weddellii (Weddell seal), 437 nucleotides long. RefSeq lists it as uncharacterized. NCBI's taxonomy places the organism in Eukaryota, Metazoa, Chordata, Mammalia, Carnivora, Phocidae. The record is from RefSeq and is a predicted model, not a curated record.